GGGUCGUUAGCUCAGGACGUAGAGCAGCGGACUUUUAAUCCGUUGGUCACUGGUUCGAAUCCAGUACGACCCA
Molecule: transfer RNA, 73 nt
Filed under: Paraburkholderia phytofirmans
Lineage: Bacteria; Pseudomonadati; Pseudomonadota; Betaproteobacteria; Burkholderiales; Burkholderiaceae
Also listed under: 1 other name
Description: tRNA-Lys
Rfam family: tRNA
About the family: Transfer RNA (tRNA) molecules are approximately 80 nucleotides in length. Their secondary structure includes four short double-helical elements and three loops (D, anti-codon, and T loops).
Source: RNAcentral